Molecule: transfer RNA, 87 nt
Filed under: Phytohabitans houttuyneae
Lineage: Bacteria; Bacillati; Actinomycetota; Actinomycetes; Micromonosporales; Micromonosporaceae
Description: tRNA-Leu
Source: RNAcentral
ACGAUGGUGGAGGAUGCACUCUGCGCGGCUGAGGUUCGCGCGGUGGCUACUGCGGAGCCAACCCCGUACGGACGUGAGGUCAUCGUC